This 510-nucleotide ribosomal RNA is filed under the name uncultured bacterium. RNAcentral's name for it is "partial 16S ribosomal RNA". It matches the Rfam family "Bacterial small subunit ribosomal RNA", at positions 28 to 507 of the family's 1533-position model. The record is from RNAcentral.
GACGAACGCUGGCGGCGUGCUUAACACAUGCAAGUCGAACGAAGAGCGAUGGAAGCUUGCUUCUAUCAAUCUUAGUGGCGAACGGGUGAGUAACGCGUAAUCAACCUGCCCUUCAGAGGGGGGCAACAGUUGGAAACGACUGCUAAUACCGCAUACGAUCUAAUCUCGGCAUCGAGGAUAGAUGAAAGGUGGCCUCUACAUGUAAGCUAUCACUGAAGGAGGGGAUUGCGUCUGAUUAGCUAGUUGGAGGGGUAACGGCCCACCAAGGCGAUGAUCAGUAGCCGGUCGGAGAGGAUGAACGGCCACAUUGGGACUGAGACACGGCCCAGACUCCUACGGGAGGCAGCAGUGGGGAAUCUUCCGCAAUGGACGAAAGUCUGACGGAGCAACGCCGCGUGAGUGAUGACGGCCGUCGGGUUGUAAAGCUCUGUUAAUCGGGACGAAAGGCCUUCUUGCGAAUAGUGAGAAGGAUUGACGGUACCGGAAUAGAAAGCCACGGCUAACUACGUG